Molecule: non-coding RNA, 71 nt
Organism: Stegodyphus mimosarum
Lineage: Eukaryota; Metazoa; Arthropoda; Arachnida; Araneae; Eresidae
Source: Rfam
GCCUUCGUGGUGUAACGAUAGCACAUUCGACGCGUAUUCCAGAGGUCCAGGUUCGAGUCCCGGCGAGGGCA